Molecule: ribosomal RNA, 497 nt
Filed under: uncultured bacterium
Lineage: Bacteria
Description: partial 16S ribosomal RNA
Rfam family: Bacterial small subunit ribosomal RNA
Source: RNAcentral
GAUGAACGCUGGCGGCGUGCCUAACACAUGCAAGUCGAGCGAACAGAUGAGGAGCUUGCUCCGCUGACGUUAGCGGCGGACGGGUGAGUAACACGUGGAUAACCUACCUAUAAGACUGGGAUAACUUCGGGAAACCGGAGCUAAUACCGGAUAAUAUAUUGAACCGCAUGGUUCAAUAGUGAAAGACGGUUUUGCUGUCACUUAUAGAUGGAUCCGCGCCGCAUUAGCUAGUUGGUAAGGUAACGGCUUACCAAGGCAACGAUGCGUAGCCGACCUGAGAGGGUGAUCGGCCACACUGGAACUGAGACGCGGUCCAGACUCCUACGGGAGGCAGCAGUAGGGAAUCUUCCGCAAUGGGCGAAAGCCUGACGGAGCAACGCCGCGUGAGUGAUGAAGGUCUUCGGAUCGUAAAACUCUGUUAUUAGGGAAGAACAAAUGUGUAAGUAACUAUGCACGUCUUGACGGUACCUAAUCAGAAAGCCACGGCUAACUACGUG